This 1289-nucleotide ribosomal RNA is filed under the name metagenome. RNAcentral describes it as "bacterial SSU rRNA". It matches the Rfam family "Bacterial small subunit ribosomal RNA", at positions 50 to 1379 of the family's 1533-position model. The record is from RNAcentral.
AACACAUGCAAGUCGAACGAAGUUCCUUCGGGGACUUAGUGGCGGACGGGUGAGUAACACGUGAGAACCUGCCUUCAGAAUGGGGACAACAGUUGGAAACGACUGCUAAUACCCAAUGUGCCGAAAGGUGAAAGAUUUAUCGUCUGAAGAUGGGCUCGCGUCUGAUUAGCUAGAUGGUGGGGUAAAAGCCUACCAUGGCGACGAUCAGUAGCUGGUCUGAGAGGAUGAGCAGCCACACUGGGACUGAGACACGGCCCAGACUCCUACGGGAGGCAGCAGUGGGGAAUUUUCCGCAAUGGGCGCAAGCCUGACGGAGCAAUACCGCGUGAGGGAGGAAGGUCCUUGGAUUGUAAACCUCUUUUAUCAGGGAAGAAGAAAAUGACGGUACCUGAAGAAUAAGCAUCGGCUAACUCCGUGCCAGCAGCCGCGGUAAUACGGAGGAUGCAAGCGUUAUCCGGAAUUAUUGGGCGUAAAGCGUCCGUAGGUGGUUAUGCAAGUCUGCCGUUAAAGAAUGGAGCUUAACUCCAUAGGAGCGGUGGAAACUGCAAGACUAGAGUACAGUAGGGGUAGCAGGAAUUCCCAGUGUAGCGGUGAAAUGCGUAGAUAUUGGGAAGAACAUCGGUGGCGAAAGCGUGCUACUGGGCUGAAACUGACACUGAGGGACGAAAGCUAGGGUAGCGAAAGGGAUUAGAUACCCCUGUAGUCCUAGCCGUAAACGAUGGAUACUAGGCGUGGCUUGUAUCGACCCGAGCCGUGCCGAAGCUAACGCGUUAAGUAUCCCGCCUGGGGAGUACGCACGCAAGUGUGAAACUCAAAGGAAUUGACGGGGGCCCGCACAAGCGGUGGAGUAUGUGGUUUAAUUCGAUGCAACGCGAAGAACCUUACCAAGGCUUGACAUCCCUGGAAUCUUGCAGAAAUGUGAGAGUGCCUUAGGGAGCCAGGAGACAGGUGGUGCAUGGCUGUCGUCAGCUCGUGUCGUGAGAUGUUGGGUUAAGUCCCGCAACGAGCGCAACCCUCGUUUUUAGUUGCCAUCAUUAAGUUGGGCACUCUAGAGAGACUGCCGGUGACAAACCGGAGGAAGGUGGGGAUGACGUCAAGUCAUCAUGCCCCUUACGCCUUGGGCUACACACGUACUACAAUGGUCGGGACAACGGGCAGCUAAACCGCGAGGUCAAGCGAAUCCCAUCAAACCCGGCCUCAGUUCAGAUUGCAGGCUGCAACUCGCCUGCAUGAAGGAGGAAUCGCUAGUAAUCGCAGGUCAGAAUACUGCGGUGAAUUCGUUCCCGGGC